GUAGGGAAUAUUGGGCAAUGGGCGAGAGCCUGACCCAGCCAUGCCGCGUGCCGGAUGAAGGCCUUCUGGGUUGUAAACGGCUUUUCUCAGGGAAGAAAAAGAUCUUGCGAGGUACACUGACGGUACCUGAGGAAUAAGCACCGGCUAACUCCGUGCCAGCAGCCGCGGUAAUACGGAGGGUGCAAGCGUUGUCCGGAUUUAUUGGGUUUAAAGGGUGCGUAGGCGGCUUGUUAAGUCCGGGGUGAAAGCCCACUGCUCAACAGUGGAACUGCCCUGGAUACUGGCAAGCUUGAGUCCAGACGAGGUUGGCGGAAUGGAUGGUGUAGCGGUGAAAUGCAUAGAUACCAUCCAGAACCCCGAUUGCGAAGGCAGCUGACUAGGCUGGUACUGACGCUGAGGCACGAAAGCGUGGGGAGCGAACAGGAUUAGAAACCCUAGUAGUCC
This 444-nucleotide ribosomal RNA is filed under the name uncultured bacterium. RNAcentral's name for it is "bacterial SSU rRNA". It matches the Rfam family "Bacterial small subunit ribosomal RNA", at positions 354 to 796 of the family's 1533-position model. The record is from RNAcentral.